UCUGAGAAGAAAUAAAUUGAAGCAAUAUCAAGAUUUUAAAGAUCAAGUUUUCCAUCAAUCAAGUCUUGCAAUAGAACUAGAUCUAAAUAUCGUAACGACCCCAACAAGAUGAAAAAGAUUAAAAAAACUGCUGCAGAAAAGUCAAAAAAAGCAAUUGGAGAAUCCUCAAGAAAAACCAAAAAAGAUGAUACUACACGUCCACGUCUUCCUAAGGUAUAUAUAAUUUUUUUUGUUUUUGUAUAUGUUGGGUAUAUAAAUUUUUGGUGAGUUUUUUGUUUGAACUACAGUGAUCUAUAUAGUUAAUAUACAUAAUUGAAUAAUGGUUGUUUGUACAUUAGUAAGUAUAUAUUUGUUGCACAUACAUUAUUCAACACAUAUACAUAAGUUGGGUUUGCCAUUAUGUUUUGUUAUGUUAGUUUGAUGCACUGAACAUGUUAUGAGUAUUAUGAGUAACAUAUACAUAAACUUCACUAUGUUGUUAAACUACUACUGAGAUGUGUAGUUCAUAUACAUCAUAUUUUGCUGUGUAUAUGUGUUCAUUUUUUAUAGAGGCAGUUGAGGCAAUAGACAUAAGUUAUGUAUAUGUUAACAUAUACAUCACUUGUGAUAUGUUGUUUGCUGUGUUAUUGAAUCAAUAGUUCUCACACUUCAAUUUGUAUGCAUAUGUUGUUAAUAUACAUAGGUUUAGUGUAUGUAUUGACAACAUAUGCUCACAUAUGAUGUGUUGUUUCAUUCUCAAUAGGAUAUGAAAUACAGGAUAAAAAAAGUUCCUGCGCAUCCGUUGCAUUUCGGUAGUUAUUGCAAUUGAAAAUUUAGAGAAGAAAUAAAUAAUUAUCUUGGUGAAGAAGUUCUAAAUCUAUUUCGGCAAAUAAUUUUUGGUUCAUUCCUAGACAUGCCGCAGUCUAAUUAUCAGGGUCAAAUAUCCAAAUGCUUACUUAUGCUUGAGAUAGAGCAAGACAACCUGGAGAAAAUUCUUGUUUACGUGCAGGGACCGAUUCUCAAGUUUUCUAUUACCAAGCAUGUCAUUAUAUCCGGUCUUAAAUGUUCAGAGAACAUUGAGGAACACCUUUUUUCUAAUUCAUCAAAGUCUGUAUUAAUGGCGAAGUAUUUUUCAGGAUCAAAAAGUUCUGUUAAGAUGACUCUUUUUAUAGAGAGAUUCAAGUUGGGAAACUUUGACAAUAAUUUUGAUUCUUUGAAUAUGUCAAUAAUUUACUUCAUUCACACCUUUCUGUAUUCACAAGUACGUGAUGUUACCAUUAGUAGAUCGAAUUUUGUGAUGGUUGAGAAUGGUAGUUAUGAUCAAUUUUCAUGGGGAAAGAGUUCAUUUGAAAAGCUUAUUACAAUAUGGAUACAAGAUUUUUUUGUUGAGAAAUAGUUAUACUCGAUGGGGGGGAAUGCCUCAUGUGCUGAAUGUUUGGAUGUAUGAAUGUUGUUCUGAGGUAGAUAGUACGAUAGCUAAGUGGGUGGGAAAUGUAAUUCCACGAAUUUUUAAUUGGAAGGUUUUUGGAAUCAAAGUAAAGUACGAGAAGUUUAUGGGUGGUAUGUUCAACAAGGUAAGUAUGAUGUAUAUUAUUUCAAGCUUAUUUUUAUAUUUCAAUGUGCUGACUUUAACAGACUGUUAAUGUUGCUAUUAUUUAUUAUUUAAUAGUUUGUGUACAACAAUACAUGACCAACUCAUGAAGAAGUGCAAAGUCUUGAUUUGUAUAUGAUUGAGGGAUUUGAAUUAAAUGACGCUGAAUCUGUAUUUUCACCAGAAACUACUGUCGACCGUUCUGAUAAAAGACUUUUUGUCGACAUAACAUUUAUAAUUGGACCUCAACAUACAAGGUUUUGAGGAUUUCAGUACAGUUCCACCUAUAAAAAUUCUUAAGAAGGCAAUUUGAUUAUAUAUGCAUCAGCAUCACAACCUACUAAGAGGACAGUCCAUUUUGAUGUCGUAACUGUCGAAGAGCAAGUUUGUGAGAAACACCAUCUACUGUUUCAACAAGAACUGUACCAACUGAAAAAACACCAUCUUAUGGUUUGGGGCAUGUUCAUACCGCAAAGACAAUUCCAUCAUCAUCCAUCAAGUCAGUUUGUCAGGAUAAUUCUGAUGAAAAGUGGGACGAGAUAGAGUUGUUUUUGCAGUCUUAUGUUGACACAAAAAUUAAUUUUCUUCAUGAUCUAAUAGUCAAACAACAUGAAUACUCAAAUGAAAAAAUGGAUAAACAACACGCCGAACUCAUCCAAAUGCUGAAACACAACAACCAAAGAAAUG
Long non-coding RNA from Capsicum annuum, 2257 nucleotides. RefSeq lists it as uncharacterized. The record is from RefSeq and is a predicted model, not a curated record. NCBI's taxonomy places the organism in Eukaryota, Viridiplantae, Streptophyta, Magnoliopsida, Solanales, Solanaceae. The transcript is spliced from 3 exons.